Molecule: ribosomal RNA, 482 nt
Filed under: uncultured bacterium
Lineage: Bacteria
Description: partial 16S ribosomal RNA
Rfam family: Bacterial small subunit ribosomal RNA
Source: RNAcentral
AUUGAACGCUGGCGGCAUGCUUUACACAUGCAAGUCGAACGGUAACAGGCCGCAAGGUGCUGACGAGUGGCGAACGGGUGAGUAAUGCAUCGGAACGUGCCCAGUCGUGGGGGAUAACUACUCGAAAGAGUAGCUAAUACCGCAUACGAUCUAUGGAUGAAAGCGGGGGACCGUAAGGCCUCGCGCGAUUGGAGCGGCCGAUGUCAGAUUAGGUAGUUGGUGGGGUAAAGGCUCACCAAGCCAACGAUCUGUAGCUGGUCUGAGAGGACGACCAGCCACACUGGGACUGAGACACGGCCCAGACUCCUACGGGAGGCAGCAGUGGGGAAUUUUGGACAAUGGGCGCAAGCCUGAUCCAGCAAUGCCGCGUGCAGGAAGAAGGCCUUCGGGUUGUAAACUGCUUUUGUACGGAACGAAACGGCUCUGGUUAAUACCCGGGGCUAAUGACGGUACCGUAAGAAUAAGCGCCGGCUAACUACGUG